UACAGAGGGUGCAAGCGUUAAUCGGAAUUACUGGGCGUAAAGCGCAUGUAGGUGGGUAUUUAAGUCGAAUGUGAAAGCCCCGGGCUCAACCUGGGAAUUGCAUCCGAUACUGAAUAUCUAGAGUAUGAUAGAGGGAAGUGGAAUUUCCGGUGUAGCGGUGAAAUGCGUAGAUAUCGGAAGGAACAUCAGUGGCGAAGGCGGCUUCCUGGAUCAAUACUGACACUAAAGUGCGAAAGCGUGGGGAGCAAACAGG
Molecule: ribosomal RNA, 253 nt
Filed under: uncultured Gammaproteobacteria bacterium
Lineage: Bacteria; Pseudomonadati; Pseudomonadota; Gammaproteobacteria
Description: partial 16S ribosomal RNA
Rfam family: Bacterial small subunit ribosomal RNA
Source: RNAcentral